Molecule: ribosomal RNA, 610 nt
Filed under: Leeuwenhoekiella blandensis MED217
Lineage: Bacteria; Pseudomonadati; Bacteroidota; Flavobacteriia; Flavobacteriales; Flavobacteriaceae
Description: bacterial SSU rRNA
Rfam family: Bacterial small subunit ribosomal RNA
Source: RNAcentral
UGCUUUUCUGAUGACGAGUGGCGCACGGGUGCGUAACGCGUAUGCAAUCUACCUUGUACUGGAGUAUAGCCCAGGGAAACUUGGAUUAAUCCUCCAUAGUCUAUAUUAAUGGCAUCAUUUUAUAUAGUAAAGGUUACGGUACAAGAUGAGCAUGCGUCCUAUUAGCUAGUAGGUGUGGUAACGGCACACCUAGGCAACGAUAGGUAGGGGUCCUGAGAGGGAGAUCCCCCACACUGGUACUGAGACACGGACCAGACUCCUACGGGAGGCAGCAGUGAGGAAUAUUGGACAAUGGGCGCAAGCCUGAUCCAGCCAUGCCGCGUGCAGGAAGACUGCCCUAUGGGUUGUAAACUGCUUUUAUACGGGAAGAAUAAGUGUUACGUGUAGCACGAUGACGGUACCGUAAGAAUAAGCACCGGCUAACUCCGUGCCAGCAGCCGCGGUAAUACGGAGGGUGCAAGCGUUAUCCGGAAUCAUUGGGUUUAAAGGGUCCGUAGGUGGACUAAUAAGUCAGUGGUGAAAGUCUGCAGCUUAACUGUAGAAUUGCCAUUGAUACUGUUAGUCUUGAAUUGUUGUGAAGUAACUAGAAUAUGUAGUGUAGCGGUGAAAU